GUCCACACGAAUGGGUAGGCUUUCAUGCUUGAAAAGGCCUUUUUUUAUGUUUUUGAACUCUGCUUCAACAGCUGCGGAACCUGCAGUGAUGCUGGUGCUUUUGAAGAGAGGGACCAUUAUUGCUGUCCAGAGUGGCAAGCAGUCCCAUCGGCAGAUCAUCUUAAUACAGUGUGCUACAUCUACCCUGACAAAACAUGGGGGUAGAUGUCCAGGUUGAUUCCCACGUGAAAUGUUAAAGCACUCAUUGAUGUAGCUCUUCAGAUCAGGAUGAGGGGUAAAAGCUUUGACUAGAGCUCCAAGAAUCGCCAGAGAAAAGUCACUCACUGCUUCUUUAGGAACAGAUGCACCUGCAUGGAUCCAUUCCUUCAGCCACUGUGUGAUAGCAUUAACAUCAUGCUUGUCUGACAGCAUCUGCACGACUGGGACACUGGAGCUGGUAUGCCCUGUCAUAACACCCUGAUACAGGAAGCUAUGGCCAGACAUGCCAUUCGGCCUCAUCAGUUUUUUAACUAUUGAGCCAGUUGCAUCAACACAUAACAUUGGGUGAGAUUUCUUUAAGCUCUUGUACACAUGCAUUUGUGUUUGACUCCAAUAGUGACAGAAAAACUUUUCAAGUCCAAUGUCUUUGAUGCUGUCACUGUGAGGUGCGCUGUAUUUCAACAUCUGCAAUGAUAAAAUUAGAUUUUUGUCACCUAAUGCCAAAUCAUUUUUCUCUUGCUUUGCCUUGCGCAGGGUGGCCAAAUUUGGCAGGUGGCUUGGCUCAGGGGCUCCGAAGUCCAUCAAUUUGUUUGCCUGUGAUGCUCGCCAUACAUGUGGUUUCAUCCUGCCCUCACAAAGUUCCUUGGCUACCUGCACACGCAACUGUCCAGAUAGAAACCGCUUUGAGCUACCAGUGUGUAGGGAGUCAUCACUGUUCUUAAUGAAACAGUUCAAUAUUAUUGGACUGUUAAUUUCUGGCUCUCCGCUACAAUUAAUGUUGAGAAGGCCAUGACACUCCUUGCAGUAUCCUCUGAUUUCGAUAUAAUUAUUUGAGACCAAUGGAUAGACCUUGGCUCUUUUAAAAACAAAUGUGCAAGGAAUUUUGACUGUUUUCCAGAUUUUUUCAUUUAUGAUGUGGAUCCAGGUGCCAGGCUUCAAAAUUGUAUAUUCUCUUUUUUGGGUUCGACAGUUCUUAUCUUUGUAUUCUGCCUUUUCCGGAAUAAAUUCCAUCCACUUGUCAAAAGGAAUAUGAAGCUGAAAUGACCGUUCAGGUCCUGAUUCCGAGCUUGCUUCACUGCUAGUUUCAGGAUCAGUUUCAUCAUGACUGAAUCCCAGAGCUGACCAGAUAUUGCGUCUGCUUGUUUUUACAAAGGUGUACAGAGCCUUUGCAGACAUCUUCUUUUCCAACUGGUCACUCAGAUCUGUCCACACAGUAGCGCUUGAAGUGGCUACGUUACCAUUUUCAAGUAUGGCCUCUUUUGAUGAGCAGAGAACUGCAACAAUUAAAUCAUUGUCUACUGCUGGUUGUUUGGGCAUCUAGUUGAAGGACAAAUAAAUAUAAUCAGGAUUCAUUGCUUGAAUAAUUAAAAUUACACAUGCGUGAUCAUUAUAAUUGCUAUGCACGGACGGAAAAAUGAUGCAAAGGGAAAAAUAUUUUGACAUCAAAAUGUAUCAAGCAUGUUUUCUUUAGAAAUUUAGUUUUCUUGGUCAGUGCAAAUUACACACGUAUAAUAAGACAAUGUUAGCCAACUAGCUAUUCAGACUACCUAGGGUGUUUUUAAUUCUAUAUUGUAGGAACUGGUUGUUUUUUUUUACACAUUUUACUUACAUUGGUCGAUGGUCGCUUUCUGUCACUCACUGUUAUUAAAUCUUCGGAGAUAGUUGUGCAUUUGUCGCUUGAAAAAGUUGCACGUCUUUGUUUUUCGCCACCCUGUUGCAAUAUGUCUUACCAGCCUGCAGAGGUCACUUUGCAUGGUAAUUAGUUGGAUAAUACAUGUGUAAGAAUUGAGGAGUUAUCAUGAUGUCAAGUGAAAAAGAAU
Syngnathus acus (greater pipefish) is the source of this 2018-nucleotide long non-coding RNA. RefSeq lists it as uncharacterized. The transcript is spliced from 2 exons. NCBI's taxonomy places the organism in Eukaryota, Metazoa, Chordata, Actinopteri, Syngnathiformes, Syngnathidae. The record is from RefSeq and is a predicted model, not a curated record.